Long non-coding RNA from Pseudophryne corroboree (corroboree frog), 580 nucleotides. RefSeq lists it as uncharacterized. The record is from RefSeq and is a predicted model, not a curated record. The transcript has 3 exons. Lineage: Eukaryota; Metazoa; Chordata; Amphibia; Anura; Myobatrachidae.
GGACUGCUUGUCCUCAGCUACUACCUCUCACUCGCCGCAUCUAUAUCCUGCUCAACUCUCUGUCUCUCGGGAUGCUGCGCCACACCACACCAGCUCCAGUUCGCGUUGACGCGAUCUCUGGCUUCCCGGUUUCCAUGGCUACAUGGCGCCGCGUCAUCACGCCGCGCUGUCUGUGCGCCAGUUCCGGGUCCCGAAGGCGCAUCCGCGGGUGGUGCUUUUUCACGGCGGGCUUCUCUUAGGUAUUUAGGUAUGUUCAAAUCUCCCCAUGUAAUCUGCCUAUUGCUAUCUGCACCUAUGCAAAUCAUCUAUAUUCCAAAUGUAUGUUCAAAUCUCCCCAUGUAAUCUGCCUAUUGCUAUCGGCACCUAUGCAAAUCAUCUAUAUUCCAAAUGUAUGUUCAAAUCUCCCCAUGUAAUCUGCCUAUUGCUAUCUGCACCUAUGCAAAUCAUCUAUAUUCCAAAUGUAUGUUCACAUCUCCCCAUGUAAUCUGCCUAUUGCUAUCUGCACCUAUGCAAAUCAUCUAUAUUCCAAAUGUAUGUUCAAAUCUCCCCAUGUAAUCUGCCUAUUGCUAUCUGCACCUAU